GUGGGUCGAUGAAGAACGCAGCCAACUGCGAUAAGUAGUGUGAACUGCAGAAACCUUGAACACAAAACAUUCGAAUGCACAUUGCGCCAUUGCAGUAACAUCCAUUGGCACGCCUGGUUCAGGGU
Molecule: ribosomal RNA, 125 nt
Filed under: Rotylenchulus reniformis
Lineage: Eukaryota; Metazoa; Nematoda; Chromadorea; Rhabditida; Hoplolaimidae
Description: partial 5.8S ribosomal RNA
Rfam family: 5.8S ribosomal RNA
About the family: 5.8S ribosomal RNA (5.8S rRNA) is a component of the large subunit of the eukaryotic ribosome.
Source: RNAcentral